Molecule: ribosomal RNA, 451 nt
Filed under: uncultured bacterium
Lineage: Bacteria
Description: bacterial SSU rRNA
Rfam family: Bacterial small subunit ribosomal RNA
Source: RNAcentral
ACUCCUACGGGAGGCAGCAGUGGGGAAUCUUGGACAAUGGGCGCAAGCCUGAUCCAGCCAUGCCGCGUGAGUGAUGAAGGCCCUAGGGUCGUAAAGCUCUUUCGCCUGUGAUGAUAAUGACAGUAGCAGGUAAAGAAACCCCGGCUAACUCCGUGCCAGCAGCCGCGGUAAUACGAAGGGGGUUAGCGUUGUUCGGAAUUACUGGGCGUAAAGCGCGCGUAGGCGGACUAUUAAGUCAGAGGUGAAAUCCCGGGGCUCAACCCCGGAACCUGCCUUUGAUACUGGUAGUCUAGAGUUCGAGAGAGGUGAGUGGAAUUCCGAGUGUAGAGGUGAAAUUCGUAGAUAUUCGGAGGAACACCAGUGGCGAAGGCGGCUCACUGGCUCGAUACUGACGCUGAGGUGCGAAAGUGUGGGGGAGCGAAACAGGAUUAGAUACCCUGGUAGCGACUGA